RNAcentral lists this long non-coding RNA (254 nucleotides) under Eucalyptus grandis. Its description in RNAcentral is "long non-coding RNA (EGRA_LNC002886)". The record is from RNAcentral. Lineage: Eukaryota; Viridiplantae; Streptophyta; Magnoliopsida; Myrtales; Myrtaceae.
CUCCAUUCUCUCUCUCCCUUCUCAUUUCUUCGUGCGACUCCUUCGUGAAUAGCUGAUGUUGAAGACCGGCAGCUCCUUCCUUUGCAAAUUGAAGCCCACGUUCCUCUUCUUCACCGAUUCUGCCAGCCACACGCCAGCCCCACUACCGUUGGUCUCCUUCGGUCAAAACUCCUCUCGCUGGCCUUGGUAGUUGACUGGCGGCAUCCACGAAGCCUUGAAGACCGAAACUCCACCGAGCGAAGCCUCCACCGAAG